AUGAAAAGCACUUUGAAAAGAGAGUGAAAAGAACCUGAAACCAUUCUGUGGGAAGCGUAUUGCAUCACAAUGAGAGACGUUUGCAUGUUCAACCUUUCGGGGUGCAUUCAUGUAGAGGUCUAUCUGUCGUGGGCUUGUGGGCAGUCGAUUUUUAUUUUGGGCUGCCUCAGGCUGAGGGCUCCGCGAAAGCGUUGAGGACGGCAGAGGGACGAUGCGAUUCGACCCGUCUUGAAACACGGACCAAGGAGUCUAGCACAUCUGCGAGUCAAAGGGUGUUUAAACCCCAGGGCGCAGUGAAAGCAAAUUUGUUCCAUAAAACGAGCAGUUUGAGGCGGCAUACGAUCGUUGAUUGUAAGUCUGACCUAGAGCAAAUGUGCUGGGACCCGAAAGAUGGUGAACUAUGCCGGAGUAGGGCGAAGCCAGAGGAAACUCUGGUGGAGGCUCGUAGCGGUGCUGACGUGCAAAUCGCUCGUCCAACUCGGGUAUAGGGGCGAAAGACUAAUCGAACCAUCUAGUAGCUGGUUCCCUCCGAAGUUUCUCUCAGGAUAGCGGGCAGACUUGACGUUGUUUUGUGC
RNAcentral lists this ribosomal RNA (575 nucleotides) under Ceramium secundatum. RNAcentral's name for it is "eukaryotic LSU rRNA". It matches the Rfam family "Eukaryotic large subunit ribosomal RNA", at positions 364 to 1006 of the family's 3401-position model. The record is from RNAcentral. Lineage: Eukaryota; Rhodophyta; Florideophyceae; Ceramiales; Ceramiaceae.